CCUACGGGAGGCUGCAGUGGGGGAUAUUGGACAAUGGGGGGAACCCUGACCCAGCGACGCCGCGUGAGUGAAGAAGUAUCUCGGUAUGUAAAGCUCUAUCAGCAGGGAAGAAGAAAUGACGGUACCUGACUAAGAAGCCCCGGCUAACUACGUGCCAGCAGCCGCGGUAAUACGUAGGGGGCAAGCGUUAUCCGGAUUUACUGGGUGUAAAGGGAGCGUAGACGACAGCGCAAGUCUGGAGUGAAAUCCCAUGGCUUAACCAUGGAACUGCUUUUGAAACUGUGCAGCUGGAGUGCAGGAGAGGUAAGCGGAAUUCCUAGUGUAGCGGUGAAAUGCGUAGAUAUUAGGAGGAACACCAGUGGCGAAGGCGGCUUACUGGACUGUAACUGACGUUGAGGCUCGAAAGCGUGGGGAGCAAACAGGAUUAGAUACCCUGGUAGUC
Molecule: ribosomal RNA, 442 nt
Filed under: uncultured bacterium
Lineage: Bacteria
Description: partial 16S ribosomal RNA
Rfam family: Bacterial small subunit ribosomal RNA
Source: RNAcentral